Molecule: ribosomal RNA, 882 nt
Filed under: Salmonella enterica subsp. enterica
Lineage: Bacteria; Pseudomonadati; Pseudomonadota; Gammaproteobacteria; Enterobacterales; Enterobacteriaceae
Description: partial 23S ribosomal RNA
Rfam family: Bacterial large subunit ribosomal RNA
Source: RNAcentral
ACUAACUGGAGGACCGAACCGACUAAUGUUGAAAAAUUAGCGGAUGACCUGUGGCUGGGGGUGAAAGGCCAAUCAAACCGGGAGAUAGCUGGUUCUCCCCGAAAGCUAUUUAGGUAGCGCCUCGUGAAUUCAUCUCCGGGGGUAGAGCACUGUUUCGGCUAGGGGGCCAUCCCGGCUUACCAACCCGAUGCAAACUGCGAAUACCGGAGAAUGUUAUCACGGGAGACACACGGCGGGUGCUAACGUCCGUCGUGAAGAGGGAAACAACCCAGACCGCCAGCUAAGGUCCCAAAGUCAUGGUUAAGUGGGAAACGAUGUGGGAAGGCCCAGACAGCCAGGAUGUUGGCUUAGAAGCAGCCAUCAUUUAAAGAAAGCGUAAUAGCUCACUGGUCGAGUCGGCCUGCGCGGAAGAUGUAACGGGGCUAAACCAUGCACCGAAGCUGCGGCAGCGAACGUAUCACUUAAAGCGAUUCAGCGGGUUACGAUUGACGGAGCGAAGCGACGUCAAAGCGUAUACAAAGUCGAGUCGGUUUAAGGAUACGUUCGUUGGGUAGGGGAGCGUUCUGUAAGCCCGUGAAGGUGGCCUGUGAGGGUUGCUGGAGGUAUCAGAAGUGCGAAUGCUGACAUAAGUAACGAUAAAGCGGGUGAAAAGCCCGCUCGCCGGAAGACCAAGGGUUCCUGUCCAACGUUAAUCGGGGCAGGGUGAGUCGACCCCUAAGGCGAGGCCGAAAGGCGUAGUCGAUGGGAAACGGGUUAAUAUUCCCGUACUUGGUGUUACUGCGAAGGGGGGACGGAGAAGGCUAUGUUGGCCGGGCGACGGUUGUCCCGGUUUAAGCGUGUAGGUGUGUGUUCCAGGUAAAUCCGGUUCACUUUAACACUGAG